UACGUAGGGUGCAAGCGUUAAUCGGAAUUACUGGGCGUAAAGCGUGCGCAGGCGGCUUUGCAAGUCAGAUGUGAAAUCCCCGGGCUCAACCUGGGAACUGCAUUUGUGACUGCAUGGCUAGAGUGCGGCAGAGGGGGAUGGAAUUCCGCGUGUAGCAGUGAAAUGCGUAGAUAUGUGGAGGAAUACCGAUGGCGAAGGCAGCCCCCUGGGAUAACACUGACGCUCAUGCACGAAAGCGUGGGGAGCAAACAGG
This 253-nucleotide ribosomal RNA is filed under the name uncultured bacterium. RNAcentral's name for it is "partial 16S ribosomal RNA". It matches the Rfam family "Bacterial small subunit ribosomal RNA", at positions 524 to 776 of the family's 1533-position model. The record is from RNAcentral.